RNAcentral lists this unclassified non-coding RNA (297 nucleotides) under uncultured bacterium. RNAcentral describes it as "contains 16S-23S intergenic spacer region". The record is from RNAcentral.
UCAUGGUGCCCGGCCUGCGCGAUCACGUGCCCGAGCACUGGCAGACGUUGCUGCAGGCCAAGCUGCAGGCACAAGGACACAAGACCGCAUCGGUGCCACCGCUGGAGGCCGACAAGCUGAGUUGCGCGGCGCGCGUGGCGGCAUUGGACAAGGCGCUGGCCGCCAUCGCCGGCCCAGUGAUUCUCGUGGCGCAUAGCGCCGGCGUGAUGAUCACCGCGCAUUGGGCCAAGCGGCAUGCGCGUCAGAUCCAUGGCGCCCUGCUCGCCACGCCAGCCGAUCUGGAAAGGCCGCUGCCGG